UACGAAGGGUGCAAGCGUUGUUCGGAAUCACUGGGCGUAAAGAAUGCGUAGGCGGCUUGAUAAGUCAGGAGUGAAAUCCCAGGGCUCAACCCUGGAACUGCUCUUGAAACUAUCUUGCUAGAGUCCCGGAGGGGUUAGCGGAAUUCCGAGUGUAGAGGUGAAAUUCGCAGAUAUUCGGAGGAACACCAGUGGCGAAGGCGGCUAACUGGACGGGAACUGACGCUGAGGCAUGAAAGUGUGGGGAUCAAACAGG
RNAcentral lists this ribosomal RNA (253 nucleotides) under uncultured bacterium. Its description in RNAcentral is "partial 16S ribosomal RNA". It matches the Rfam family "Bacterial small subunit ribosomal RNA", at positions 524 to 776 of the family's 1533-position model. The record is from RNAcentral.